This 690-nucleotide ribosomal RNA is filed under the name uncultured bacterium. RNAcentral describes it as "bacterial SSU rRNA". It matches the Rfam family "Bacterial small subunit ribosomal RNA", at positions 150 to 859 of the family's 1533-position model. The record is from RNAcentral.
CGCUAACGCGGAGCUAAUACCGCAUAUGUUCGCUCUUUCGGUAGGGCGAGUAAAGCAGUAAUGCGCUUGGGGAUGGGCCUGCGGCGGAUUAGCUAGUUGGUGGGGUAACGGCCUACCAAGGCGAUGAUCCGUAGGGGGCGUGAGAGCGUGGCCCCCCACACUGGCACUGAGACACGGGCCAGACUCCUACGGGAGGCAGCAGUGAGGAAUAUUGCACAAUGGGCGCAAGCCUGAUGCAGCAACGCCGCGUGAGGGACGAAGGCCUUCGGGUCGUAAACCUCUUUUCUGGGGGACGAGUAAGGACGGUACCUCAGGAAUAAGUCUCGGCUAACUACGUGCCAGCAGCCGCGGUAAAACGUAGGAGGCGAGCGUUAUCCGGAUUUACUGGGCGUAAAGCGUACGCAGGUGGCUUCGUGAGUCGGACAUGAAAGCUCCCGGCUUAACUGGGAGAGGUUGUUCGAUACUGCGAGGCUUGAGGUUGGGAGAGGGACGUGGAAUUCCCGGUGUAGUGGUGGAAUGCGUAGAUAUCGGGAGGAACACCAGUGGCGCAAGCGGCGUCCUGGCCCACACCUGACGCUGAGGUACGAAAGCGUGGGUAGCAAACAGGAUUAGAUACCCUGGUAGUCCACGCUGUAAACGAUGUCAACUGGGUGUCGGUAGUUUUACACUAUCGGUGCCGAAGCCAACGCG